AUUGAACGCUGGCGGCAGGCCUAACACAUGCAAGUCGAACGAGUGGCGGACGGGUGAGUAAUGUCUGGGAAACUGCCUGAUGGAGGGGGAUAACUACUGGAAACGGUAGCUAAUACCGCAUACCAUCGGAUGUGCCCAGAUGGGAUUAGCUAGUAGGUGGGGUAAAGGCUCACCUAGGCGACGAUCCCUAGCUGGUCUGAGAGGAUGACCAGCCACACUGGAACUGAGGAACGGUCCAGACUCCUACUGAAGGCAGCAGGGGGGAAUAUGGCACAAUGGGCGCAAGCCUUAUGCAGCCAUGCCGCGGGUAAGAAGAAGGCCUUCGGGUUGUAAAGUACUUUCAGCGGGGAGGCGUUACCCGCACAAGAAGCACCGGCUAACUCCGUGCCAGCAGCCGCGGUAAUAC
This 406-nucleotide ribosomal RNA is filed under the name uncultured bacterium. RNAcentral describes it as "partial 16S ribosomal RNA". It matches the Rfam family "Bacterial small subunit ribosomal RNA", at positions 30 to 526 of the family's 1533-position model. The record is from RNAcentral.